CCAGGGGCUGGGAGGAGAAAAUGCCCUUCUGGCCGUCACGUACCUGAUGUCCACUUCCGUGCUGCAGGAGUGACAGUAACACUUGGGUGGUUGAGGAGGAAGUGAACCGGAAACAGAGAAAGAAACAGGAGGGGUGAGGUCCUUUCUCUUGCCUGGAUAGGACGUGCACAGGAUGGAACACCCAGUACGAUGGGCAAUAGAAGUGGUGACCCGGAAAGCCGUCCAUUCACGAGCUGGGGGCUGGGAAAUCUGUCACAUGUCCGCAUUGAACAGGUUGUUCCCUACAAGAGAAACACCCUAAGGAUAUAGGCUCCCUACUUACCGUCCGUUGACAACCUGCUCAUCAUACCUGAAGAAGAAGAUAUACCACAUGGUAUGCAAGUACAAGACAAAGAAAUAUUCCUAAUUAAUGGAUUUCUCCAACUCAACAGAUGUAACAACCUCUCUUCUUUGGGAAGUAUGGCUUACGGUGGCUCAGGCAUGAUUUAGGGUGUCCCCCAAUACCCACCACUGUCCCUUUUCCCCAUCUUCACUAGCCUGCAUGUCUAAUAUAAUCUGUUCAUUUGCGUCUCUUCUCUACCAGCGUCUGAGUUUCUCAAGGACGAGCAUCUCUGAUCCAUCUCUGGGUUCCCAUCACCCAAGGAUGGGUCCAGGCUCAUAGUGGAUGCUCAGAAAUUCAUGCUCAAGGUUCGCCCACCAAAGUUCACAGUCCAAAGCCAUCACGCAUGUGGCAUGGUAUUUACCUAGGAUUCCUGGCAGCAGCCCAUGCAGAAGAGGAGUUGGCAGCCAAGGUCACAGACGCGGUACAGAAUGGCGGGAUCGUGGAGAUGGCGCCACAGACCAAACAUAAGAUGAGAUACUGAGGAUCAGACCGUUGGCCCCAUGUUGCCUGUGAAGAUCACUCAGGAGAAAUCAUGACACCUCAUGCAGCUGAUUGGGAGCCGGGCUACAGCCAGGAGAAGAAAGACAGCAGAAAUUACCCUCCCUCUGACACGGGCAAUCAAACCGAACUGAGAGAGCUGGAACAAGAGUCUUACCUUUCAGCACUUGUUGAUGUUCAAGCAGUGGGAAGGAGAGGUCCGAUGGUGGCCGGCAGGGGUCAUUUUCCCAAUAAAGGUUCAGAGAGAAUACGAAAUCAAUCAAGUCGUCCUGUGUACCUCAUGGCACCCCAUAGGUCCCAAGACGGGAUAAGGAACCAGAAAGAGAAGCUGUGACCCAUUCUAAGAGUCCUGGACCCCUUUGGAGACACAUUUACCCCAAAGUCAAAACCCCCCAGGGAUCCCAGCUGCCUGGGGCAUCCAAAUUCUCCCCCUCCAUCUGAGUUUUGGGAGGUUGGCCGAAGGAACCAAUUAUCAUCCCCAGUUUUCAACUGGAGACCGGGAGUGUUAAUACUUGGAAAAGAGGGAAGCCUGGCCACCCUACACCAUAUUUUUCUUGUCUAAAACCCACCAAAUGAAAACAUGCAAUCCAGCCCAAUUCGGUUGUACUUUUUGGAGCAUGUCACUGAUCCUACUGAAAAUCUGAUCAAAUCUAUGAAUUCCAUAUUCCCAGAAAACCACACCAGUUCCCUGCCCUCUUUCUCUCUCUCUCUCUCACACACACUGAGUUUUAUGCAAGAUUACAAAGGCUCUCUGAAGUCCAUCUAUUUGCCCCCUUGGAUAUGCAGAUUCUGGGUUUGGAGCUUGAGUUGGGACCAAGAGCAUCUCCCAGAAUCUGCCUUGGUUGAAUGUGGUGGUCAGAACUUUUGUCUGUUCCUUUCUCCCCCUUCUCUGGGUUGAAGGGCUCCCUAGUGAGGUAGGGAGAAGGAGAUGGGACUUACUUACGUUUGACUAGAAAGGCAACAGAACCAGGAAUCGGUGAAUUGACAUGGAAAAUAAAAGCAAGGGAGAGAAUAGGGUUAAUGCUAACAUUACUUAUCUCAGUUAAUUUAUUUAUUCCUUCUUGGAGCAUUUAUCUGCCUUUACCACUUAGAGUUAUGCCCUGCCCCCAAGACAAAGCCUGUGUGGCAGACCCGAGUCCCACCUUUCCCCAGAAUUCCCUGAGGGGUGUUGACAUCAGAAGGAAUCUGAGAGGAGUUAGUUAGCUGUGGGAAUAUAAACUUGGGGGUUCACACAGUUCUUACUUUUUUC
This is a long non-coding RNA of Felis catus (domestic cat), 2129 nucleotides long. RefSeq lists it as uncharacterized. The record is from RefSeq and is a predicted model, not a curated record. Lineage: Eukaryota; Metazoa; Chordata; Mammalia; Carnivora; Felidae. The transcript has 5 exons.